Molecule: ribosomal RNA, 729 nt
Filed under: uncultured Glomeromycotina
Lineage: Eukaryota; Fungi; Glomeromycota
Description: SSU rRNA
Rfam family: Eukaryotic small subunit ribosomal RNA
Source: RNAcentral
GGGCACGACACCGGAGAGGGAGCCUGAGAAACGGCUACCACAUCCAAGGAUGGCAGCAGGCGCGCAAAUUACCCAAUCCCGACACGGGGAGGUAGUGACAAUAAAUAACAAUACGGGGUUCUUUAGGAUCUCGUAAUUGGAAUGAGUACAAUUUAAAUCUCUUAACGAGGAACAAUUGGAGGGCAAGUCUGGUGCCAGCAGCCGCGGUAAUUCCAGCUCCAAUAGCGUAUAUUAAAGUUGUUGCAGUUAAAAAGCUCGUAGUUGAAUUUCGGGGUUAGUAGGUUGGUCAUGCCUCUGGUAUGUACUGGUCUCACUGAUUCCUCCUUCCUUAUGAACCGUAAUGCCAUUAAUUUGGUGUUGCGGGGAAUUUGGACUGUUACUUUGAAAAAAUUAGAGUGUUUAAAGCAAGCUAACGCUUGAAUACAUUAGCAUGGAAUAAUGAAAUAGGACGUUCGAUCUUAUUUUGUUGGUUUCUAGGAUUGACGUAAUGAUUAAUAGGGAUAGUUGGGGGCAUUAGUAUUCAAUUGUCAGAGGUGAAAUUCUUGGAUUUAUUGAAGACUAACUACUGCGAAAGCAUUUGCCAAGGAUGUUUUCAUUAAUCAAGAACGAAAGUUAGGGGAUCGAAGACGAUCAGAUACCGUCGUAGUCUUAACCAUAAACUAUGCCGACUAGGGAUCGGAUGAUGUUAAUUUUUUAAUGACUCAUUCGGCGCCUUACGGGAAACCAAAG